Molecule: ribosomal RNA, 598 nt
Filed under: uncultured bacterium
Lineage: Bacteria
Description: bacterial SSU rRNA
Rfam family: Bacterial small subunit ribosomal RNA
Source: RNAcentral
GCUUCUCUUCGGAGAGGUGGACAGUGGCGAACUGCGUAGUAAUAGAUAGGUGACGUGCCCCGAGGUCCGGGAUAGCCGCGGGAAACUGCGGGUAAUACCGGAUGAUCUCUUCGAGCGUGAUGGCUUGGGGAGCAAAGGUGAGAUUCCGUCUUGGGAGCGGCUUAUUGAGUAUUAGCUUGUUGGUGGGGUAAUGGCCUACCAAGGCUUCGAUGCUUAGGGGGUGUUAGCGCAUGGCCCCCACGACUGGGACUGAGAACUGCCCAGACACCUACGGGUGGCUGCAGUCGAGAAUCUUCGGCAAUGGACGAAAGUCUGACCGAGCGACGCCGCGUGCGGGAUGAAGGCCCUUGGGUUGUAAACCGCUGUCAGAGGGGAUGAAAUGCGGGAAGGUUAUCCUUCCCGUUUGACAGAGCCUCAAAGGAAGCACGGGCUAAGUACGUGCCAGCAGCCGCGGUAAUACGUACCGUGCGAACGUUAUUCGGAAUCACUGGGCUUAAAGGGUGCGUAGGCGGUCGUUUAAGUAGGGUGUGAAAUCCCCCGGCUCAACCGGGGAACUGCGCUCUAAACUGGGCGACUCGAGUAAGAUAGGGGUGUGCGG